AACCCUGAUGCAGCUAUACCGUGUGUGUGAAGAAGGCCUUAGGGUUGUAAAGCACUUUCAAUGGGGAAGAAUUUAAUAUUGCUAAUAUCGAUAUUAGUUGACGUUACCUAUAUAAGAAGCACCGGCUAACUCCGUGCCAGCAGCCGCGGUAAUACGGAGGGUGCAAGCGUUAAUCGGAAUUACUGGGCGUAAAGAGUACGUAGGUGGUUUGUUAAGUCAGAUGUGAAAUCCCUGAGCUUAACUUAGGAACUGCAUUUGAAACUAAUAAACUAGAGUUUCGUAGAGGGGGGUAGAAUUCCAGGUGUAGCGGUGAAAUGCGUAGAGAUCUGGAGGAAUACCAGUGGCGAAGGCGACCCCCUGGACGGAAACUGACACUCAGGUACGAAAGCAUGGGGAGCAAACAGGAUUAGAUACCCUGGUAGUCCAUGCCGUAAACGAUGUCGAUUUGAA
Molecule: ribosomal RNA, 450 nt
Filed under: Blochmannia endosymbiont of Camponotus textor
Lineage: Bacteria; Pseudomonadati; Pseudomonadota; Gammaproteobacteria; Enterobacterales; Enterobacteriaceae
Description: bacterial SSU rRNA
Rfam family: Bacterial small subunit ribosomal RNA
Source: RNAcentral